GAGCAAGUACCAUUUUAUGAAUAAAGCACCAUUGAAGUCAUUGCUAUUCCUUGAAGCCAAAAAAGUGUCAGUAAAACCCAGUCAGAAUUACCAUCUUCUGAACUCCAUGCGAGAAAACUCCAUUACUCCCAGAUACUGUUGGAUCUUCCACCAGAUUUACUCUGUGGCCCUCCGAGACUUCGUGUAACAGCAACUGCAUUUUAAUGCAAUGGCAGCUAUGGAAAACACAAAACUAUCAGUCAUUGUCAAAUACUCCAUAAAUGGAGACAGAGAAGGGGUUCAGUUCUCUGUGUAACAAGGACAGAGGAGAAAGGCAUCUGCAGUGUCAAAUCUACAGAGACAAGUGCACCUGGAGACAAAUGACCAGACUACCAUAAAACAGAAGCUUAAUUAUGUUCACUUACAUUUUCAAAUUAUUCCCAACAAAUUACCCUGUUUUUCCAGGCAGAAGAAGCAGAG
Long non-coding RNA from Homo sapiens (human), 459 nucleotides. Ensembl annotates it as long intergenic non-protein coding RNA 446. NCBI's taxonomy places the organism in Eukaryota, Metazoa, Chordata, Mammalia, Primates, Hominidae. The record is from Ensembl.